AGAGUUUGAUCAUGGCUCAGGACGAACGCUGGCGGCGCGCCUAACACAUGCAAGUCGAACGAGAGAGAGGGAGCUUGCUUCCUUGAUCGAGUGGCGAACGGGUGAGUAACGCGUGAGGAACCUGCCUCAAAGAGGGGGACAACAGUUGGAAACGACUGCUAAUACCGCAUAAGCCCACGACCCGGCAUCGGGAAGAGGGAAAAGGAGCAAUCCGCUUUGAGAUGGCCUCGCGUCCGAUUAGCUAGUUGGUGAGGUAACGGCCCACCAAGGCGACGAUCGGUAGCCGGACUGAGAGGUUGAACGGCCACAUUGGGACUGAGACACGGCCCAGACUCCUACGGGAGGCAGCAGUGGGGAAUAUUGCACAAUGGGGGAAACCCUGAUGCAGCGACGCCGCGUGGAGGAAGAAGGUCUUCGGAUUGUAAACUCCUGUUGUUGAGGAAGAUAAUGACGGUACUCAACAAGGAAGUGACGGCUAACUACGUGCCAGCAGCCGCGGUAAAACGUAGGUCACAAGCGUUGUCCGGAAUUACUGGGUGUAAAGGGAGCGCAGGCGGGCGAUCAAGUUGGAAGUGAAAUCCAUGGGCUCAACCCAUGAACUGCUUUCAAAACUGGUCGUCUUGAGUAGUGCAGAGGUAGGCGGAAUUCCCGGUGUAGCGGUGGAAUGCGUAGAUAUCGGGAGGAACACCAGUGGCGAAGGCGGCCUACUGGGCACCAACUGACGCUGAGGCUCGAAAGUGUGGGUAGCAAACAGGAUUAGAUACCCUGGUAGUCCACACCGUAAACGAUGAUUACUAGGUGUUGGGAGAUUGACCCUCUCAGUGCCGCAGUUAACACAAUAAGUAAUCCACCUGGGGAGUACGACCGCAAGGUUGAAACUCAAAGGAAUUGACGGGGGCCCGCACAAGCAGUGGAGUAUGUGGUUUAAUUCGACGCAACGCGAAGAACCUUACCAAGUCUUGACAUCCUCUGGCGAACGUAGAAAUACGUUUUCUCUUCGGAGCAGAGAGACAGGUGGUGCAUGGUUGUCGUCAGCUCGUGUCGUGAGAUGUUGGGUGAAAUCCCGCAACGAGCGCAACCCUUAUGGUCAGUUACUACGCAAGAGGACUCUGGCCAGACUGCCGUUGACAAAACGGAGGAAGGUGGGGAUGACGUCAAAUCAUCAUGCCCUUUAUGACUUGGGCUACACACGUACUACAAUGGCGUUAAACAAAGA
Molecule: ribosomal RNA, 1216 nt
Filed under: metagenome
Description: bacterial SSU rRNA
Rfam family: Bacterial small subunit ribosomal RNA
Source: RNAcentral